CUAAUACCGGAUAGGAGCUCCUGCUGCAUGGUGGGGGUUGGAAAGUUUCGGCGGUUGGGGAUGGACUCGCGGCUUAUCAGCUUGUUGGUGGGGUAGUGGCUUACCAAGGCUUUGACGGGUAGCCGGCCUGAGAGGGUGACCGGCCACACUGGGACUGAGACACGGCCCAGACUCCUACGGGAGGCAGCAGUGGGGAAUAUUGGACAAUGGGCGAAAGCCUGAUCCAGCCAUGCCGCGUGUGUGAAGAAGGUCUUCGGAUUGUAAAGCACUUUAAGUUGGGAGGAAGGGCAGUAAAUUAAUACUUUGCUGUUUUGACGUUACCGACAGAAUAAGCACCGGCUAACUCUGUGCCAGCAGCCGCGGUAAUACAGAGGGUGCAAGCGUUAAUCGGAAUUACUGGGCGUAAAGCGCGCGUAGGUGGUUCGUUAAGUUGGAUGUGAAAUCCCCGGGCUCAACCUGGGAACUGCAUUCAAAACUGACGAGCUAGAGUAUGGUAGAGGGUGGUGGAAUUUCCUGUGUAGCGGUGAAAUGCGUAGAUAUAGGAAGGAACACCAGUGGCGAAGGCGACCACCUGGACUGAUACUGACACUGAGGUGCGAAAGCGUGGGGAGCAAACAGUAUUA
RNAcentral lists this ribosomal RNA (623 nucleotides) under uncultured Isochrysis. RNAcentral describes it as "partial Bacterial small subunit ribosomal RNA". It matches the Rfam family "Bacterial small subunit ribosomal RNA", at positions 163 to 780 of the family's 1533-position model. The record is from RNAcentral. Lineage: Eukaryota; Haptophyta; Isochrysidales.